This is a long non-coding RNA of Ctenopharyngodon idella (grass carp), 1459 nucleotides long. RefSeq lists it as uncharacterized. The transcript is spliced from 4 exons. The record is from RefSeq and is a predicted model, not a curated record. Lineage: Eukaryota; Metazoa; Chordata; Actinopteri; Cypriniformes; Xenocyprididae.
CAGGAAGCACGUAAAACAGUAGAAGAAGAGUCUCGUUUUCUGUGAUUUGCGUUUUGGAUGCACGUCGUUUGCUGUCUAAUCCUUGGAGUAGAUACGAUCGAAUACAUGAGCCUGGUGAAACCAUUCGUGUGCAGCUGACUGGGAUGCACUUUGUAGUAAAUCUACAAAUGGGGCCAGAAGAAGAAAACAUAUGCUGUCUUUUGCGUUGAAGAGAUGGUGAUAAUCUCUGGAUGCUGGUCUGCGCUGCUGUGAAUCUCUGUCCUGUUGAGCUAACACCAGCACUCUACAAAGAGGAGAGGAUAGAGAGAGACCUAAGGCUGUCGGGCUAUCACAGUCUUACACAUUGCUGCUCUCAUGCACUGAAUGCAAAUUGGAUCAGGUAAUUGGGAGGCAGCUUGAGAGGGCUGCUUCAGAUCUCCCUAGCGACAAGCUCUGCUCACAAUCAUGAUUGGGCCCAGAUGGACUGUGAAGCACUUACUAUGCUUCCCACUUCACAUAACUGUCUAUACGCCCGAGCACAGGCCAGCCUUGCAUAGUUAUUUUAAUGUCACGUCCCGUACAUGUACAUGGUCACCAGGGGUCUCGUUUGACUGUGAGAAGUAUAUGCAUGUGCAUAAAUACAUGCAAAACAGACUGUGAGAAGUGCAUACAGCAGUUCACACAUUAGUGUAGUUAUUGUUAACUAUUGAAAACUAUUGAAAUUCUUAUCAUUAACUAAAAAAAGCUAAAAUGAAAUAUAAACAUUUGACAAAAAACUUUUCCUCAGCAACAAAUUGAAAUAAAAUACCCCCCUCCCCAGAUGAUGUCAUCGUCCAUUGCAAUGUUUCACUGUAGAAAUCGUCAGAUGCUAAUUUGUUAGACAUCGCCCAACCCUACGAUUAAUUCAAAAUCCUUAAUGCUUUUAAAUAAUUAAACUCAAAUAAAUUACUGAAGCACGUGAAAUUGCAUCAUUAGCUUAAUUUACAUCUUGAUGAGGAUUGCAAUCAAGGUAAAGACAACUGCGGUGAUGUACAGGAGUUUUUUUUUUUUUUUUAUGUACAGGAGUCAUACAGUGAGUACGCGUGAGUCCGUUAUAUUGAUGCGCAAAACAAAUAGUGUAUAUGCACUCUCGAUGCACUGAUCGCACGAUGUAUUUAUGCACAGACACAUUUCAGUACAUUCACACUUUCAGGAUAAUGUUUUGAUUUGUCAUCUACGUUUCUGUUUUUAGUAAUUCUGAAUGGAUCCAUGUACUGUAGCAGCAGGUGUAAGCAGUGAAGUCAAGGCGAUUUGUUUUAGGGUUUAUUUUUUGGUAUCUCCAUGUGGUCCUGUUCGGUAUCGCAACUUGACUUGUCUAAAAUGUAUACAAGUAUACAUGCUAUACACUGAAUUCUGAGCACAAAAGUGUGUUAUUUAUCGUGAUUAAAAAAUGUAAUCUAUUGACAGCACUAAAAUAAACCUAAAAUAACUGUCACACAAA